UUCUAAAAGCAAAAUAAUUAUGUAAUUAUUACUCUGGUACACAAAGGGGAUCUUUCUAUUGAUACCAACACUACUCACUACCCACCCCCACCUCCAAAGUUCAAAGCAAUCAAUUGUCUCUGCAACUUACCAACACUACUCACCCCCUCCCCCUCCCCCAAAGUUCAAAAGCAAUCAAUUAUCUCUGCAACUAAAGGUAAUGCACCAAAGAAUCAAGAAAGUUGGGCAUGUUUGGCUAGCCAUCCUAUUUGGAGUUAGGAAAUAAAGGUCUCGUAAAGAUGGCAGUGGGGUAACCAAGGAUCUUGCAGGGGAGGUUCACACAGGCAAUGAUUUGCAGAACCAAAAAAAAAGGAAUAAUGGGUGAGUAAUUCUUAACAAUGCUACAAUAUGCAGAUGGAAAGUGGUCUUGAUUUAAUCAAAAGACAUUUACUUGCAAUUUUAAUGCAAAAGGAGAUAGAUGAGCGGAUCUCAAGCUUUUAUGGGGGGGGGGGAGGUGCACGUGCACCCUGUGCUCCCCCUGGUUACAGCCCUGGAUGGGACAAGGGAAUAAGGUAACCACAUUUAUUUAGCUGAACAACUAUGAUCUUGGACAAUGAAAUAUAUAUUCAUGGGAAAUGAUAAUUUGCCAAAUUUUCCAAUCACACCUUUUCUUUGCUAUUUCACAUAAUCAUUUUGAAAUUCAAUAAAAUAAAUUGAUCCAAAUUAUUCAAUCCAAUAUCAGGCCAGUCUCUAGGUGUGGUUCGAUGGUUUGAACCAACCCCCCACUCUCCACCUUUUUAGGAGUACGCAAAAAUGUUUAUGCUAAGAGGUAAUGCUAUUUUAGUUUUUCGAGAAAUGGCACAACUAAGAUUGGUAGAAAAAUGAACCUCCCCUUUCAAGGUCCUAGCGACAGGCCUGAUUACUAUCCCAAAAUGUUGAGUACCUUGGUUUAGGAGCAGCAAAAAAGUCAUCAUCCUCAUCUUGUUCAUCAUCAUCAAACAAACUAAUAGUAGUUUUACUCUUGGGUCUAGUUUGUGGUUCUGUAUUAGAAGGCUGUGGUUUGGAUGCACUAGGGGAAAAUAGUCCUUCAGGUUCUGCUUCAUCCUCAUCACUAAACAAUCCCCCUCCUGAUUUGGGUUUGGAAGCUUGUUGUUCAGGGGGAGGCUUGGGCGAGGGUUGAACCUGCAAGUAGGAAGUGUACAUAAAAUAAAAGUUGGGUUUGAUCCUUUGAUUUUAUAUUCAAAAUCAAAAUUAAAGUUAUUUAUACCUUGCCAAGAGGUGGCGUCUGGCCUCCAAACAUUGACACAGCUCCUGCUGGAAUCUUGAGAACAAACAUUCAAUUAUUUUUUUUGUAGUUUUAACACUACAAUAAUAUUCUGUAAGGCAUUUAUAUAAGUAUACGUUCUCAGGAGAACUUCUGAUAUUUAUCUGCCACUUAACACUUAAAGCCCUGGCUGAAUGACGAAAUGUUUCCAGGAACAUGCUUACUGCUCAAUAUUGCUCUUUGAUGUUUCAAAGUUUAGCCAUGUAUGGAACAUUGUUGGAGCAUAAAAAAUUUUGCAUAACAAGAGAAGAAAAAUAUGUUUCUGCAGUACAGCAAAACCAUUUCAUGUUUUUACUCCACAUGGAAACAUUGUGACACUAACUUGUUUCCCAAUGUUUCCUGACAUCUUAGCCACCUUGGGAAACAGUUAACAAAACAUGUUUAUGGAAACAUGUUUGGCAAGGAUUUAAUUAUCCUUCCCUUUCUUUUUUCCUUCUGUUUCUUUCCUCUCCCCUCCCAUUUCUCCUAUAGGCAGAACUAUGGCAAGUCAUAUAGAAACUGAGAUCUAUGUAAAAGGUUUUACCUUCUUUUUGGGAGCUUGUGCGGCUGGCUUGCUAGAGAACAAACCAUCACCUUCAUCUUCCUCUUCAUCAUCUCCACCAAACAAGUCAACUGUCUUGGAGGGUUUUUUGGUAACAGGCUUGGAUGGUUCUAAGGAUACAAGAUGACAAAUCCCCAUUUAUCUAGUGCACAUGAAGAGGGCCCAGGGGYGAGUGAAAGUGAGUAGUUGAGAGAGAGGAGUUGACUGUUAUACGGAAGGAGAUCGAGACUGUCCUAGAAUCCCCUCGGGACAGCCAUAAAAAUGUAUGAAAGUAAAGUUUUAAGAAGUAUACAUAUGUAACAGCAACUGCAUACAGCACUGGAACUAUCACUGUUUCCAGUCCAUAUCAAGCUCCAUACAUUAGUGUCAAAGUUGGAGUUGAGAAAGGUCACUCCAUAUAUGGAAUCAUAUAAUUCCAUAUUUGGAUUGCGGGUCUUUACCCUGAGGUCAAAGAUGGUGGACAAGCGUGUUCGUCGGCUGGCGAAAUGGCUGAGAGACAUUUACAAGCUUGGHGAAGAYGAAAAACUACAAAAAACUACAAAAACUACGAAAAAAACAAGCUUCUCCCCAGUUCCUUUUUUUAAGACUGGGAAAGAGAGCUUUGACACUCAUUGUUUGAUAUGUCACAAAAUUGGUUUUGCCUGAACCAGAAUCACCUGGUAGAACACAUUUGAUUAAAAACAUAUUGUAAUGAUAAUGUCUUAGUAUUUAUUAACCAAAGAUCAAUAUUGACUCAUUAGACAAAUGAAUGUAAGCUCUUUGGGGACUUUGCAUGUUUGAAUAAAAACAAUAAUUAAUUAACACACUUCAAUUUUUUGUUUGAUAACAAUUUGAUCUCAUGUUGGCCAAAUACAUGAGUAAUUCAUCUGAACAAAAAUGACAGUUUAUAUUUAUCAUGUCAAUAUUCUCCAUGUGUAAUAUAUAUAUAUAUAUAUAUAUCUUCAUUCAUAAUUUCUUUUAAUUCAUUGUGAUUACAAGGCCUAAUGUAAAUGAAGGAAAUAAAGACUACAGAUGCAAUCAUAAAAAAGGUUGUACCAAGAUAGCCAUAGGAUAUAAAGUUAGCUUUAAUAACAUUGAAAGUGUAGAACUAGAAAUCAUCUACAUUAU
This is a long non-coding RNA of Actinia tenebrosa (Australian red waratah sea anemone), 2951 nucleotides long. The record is from RefSeq and is a predicted model, not a curated record. Lineage: Eukaryota; Metazoa; Cnidaria; Anthozoa; Actiniaria; Actiniidae.